AUCUUCAUCGUCCUGGAAAAUUGAACAGAGGAAACAAUCGGAUUUGCAAGUAAAUCGAGCGGAGAGGUAAACUUCAAGCGGUAUUCAUAUUCACCGCUCAUCACUUGAAGCCUUCAUUCAGCCGGUGUUCAUCUACACCGCAGAAGCAUUGCCCUGUAUUCAUCUACACCGGAGAAGACUUGACCGGUAUUCAUCAAGCGGUAUUCAUCAUAUAUACCGGUCACCACUUGACCGGAUUAGGGUUCAGCAGUGCAGCAACAGAUUCAACAAGGCUUCAUUCUCUAAGGCUUCAAUUGAUGUAUGUCAUAAGAAUGAGUAGAAAGGAAAGGUUUACUGUCAUAUGUUCAAAAGCAUGAACUUGAGGUUGAGGUAGACCAGUUGAAAACAGAGAAAAUCAGCUUGUUAAUUUGAAACAAGAACAAGAAGUAUAUACAAGUAGACUGUUUGAAAUAACAGGAAGCAGUUUAACAGAUUACAAAAUUUCAAAACAGCAGGUUGUGAAUUGUGUGCUGUGUUUGUGAUGUACAGGUUUUAAACAGCAGCUACAAAUAGUUGUGUACAGGUUCUGUGUACAUACAGACUGCAGCAGUUCUGAAUUUUGUUCUGUAUUGAUUGCAGCAGUUCGGCAGAUUGGACAGCAGGUUGCAGGUCUUAACAUAGAGAGCAGGAAGCCGAUUCACAGUGUGCAGGCAACUAUUUUCACAGCAGUAACAGCAAAUCCAACAGCAGCAAAGUGUGCAGGUUUUGUUAGCUGUUGGUGUAAACAGGACACAACAGCAGCAACAGGUUUACAAAAGCAAAGUGGUCUUGCCAGCUAGUCUUGACAGCAGGAAGAAUGAAACAGCAGUUUGCAGUUCUUAACAUCAGUCCAACAUAGCAGCCAGUGUGCAGCAAAGGUUUGAAACAGCAAGCUGUGCUGUGAUGGGUUUUGACAGCGACUAAAACAGCAGCUCAACAGAUUGGUAACUGUUUGUAGACAACAACUUAUUCAGGUUUAACUGUUUUUGGUUUUAACUGUCUUCAUAACUGCUUAAAUUUGUGUUUGUGUUUGGAAAGGAAAACAGCAGCUCAGAUUGCUUUGAAACUGUGCAGCAACUGCAACAGACUACAGUAAAACAUUUUAUAACUCACAACAGAGUUUGUAUCUGAUUUGGAUUUUGGCAUUAACUAGCAUGAACCAUUACUGUUUGCUAUUGGAUUGACUAAAACAGCAGCAGAUAGCAUACAGACUGGAAAGCAUACAGMGUGGUUAACAAUAAUAACAGUUUGAUACUUAAUCUGUUAAACUGUGUGUAAGCUGUUGUGAUUCUACGUUGUUGUUUUGUUUAAACUGAAUUGUUGAGACUUGGACUGUUUUGAUUUAAACUGUGCAGGUUUGUUGGUGUGAUUUGUUGUGGUUUAUCACACAAAUCUUGGUAAGAAGUUGGUGUGAUCAAGAAAAGCAGUAGCAAAGCAUCUGUGUGCAUAAUUAAGAUUGGUUUUGGACAGUUUCACAGAUUUGAAAGACUGUUGAUUUGAUUUUGCUUUCGGGGACUACGUUCAACUUCACAGAAGCACACAACAUUCAAGUGGAUUUUUGUAUACACUUCAGAGAGCAGAUAGAUCAUUUUUUUUAGUGUAAUAUCUGUAUUGUAUUUGGGCUUAGAUUGGUGUGAUUUGGACUCAGACUCAAAUUC
This is a long non-coding RNA of Cynara cardunculus var. scolymus (artichoke), 1676 nucleotides long. RefSeq lists it as uncharacterized. NCBI's taxonomy places the organism in Eukaryota, Viridiplantae, Streptophyta, Magnoliopsida, Asterales, Asteraceae. The record is from RefSeq and is a predicted model, not a curated record. The transcript has 3 exons.